This is a small nucleolar RNA of Tachyglossus aculeatus (Australian echidna), 138 nucleotides long. The record is from RefSeq and is a predicted model, not a curated record. Lineage: Eukaryota; Metazoa; Chordata; Mammalia; Monotremata; Tachyglossidae.
ACCCUCCCAGGGCUGCACCUGGAGAGUUUCCAGUACUCUCCCAGUCUCAGCUAGGGGAAGAAGAGACAAGCAGAGGCCUAUCCAUCCCAUUCCUCGCUUGGGCAGUGGCUAGUGAGUGGAAGGCAAUCUGCUACAAGU